Molecule: transfer RNA, 73 nt
Filed under: bacterium
Lineage: Bacteria
Also listed under: 1 other name
Description: tRNA-Arg
Rfam family: tRNA
About the family: Transfer RNA (tRNA) molecules are approximately 80 nucleotides in length. Their secondary structure includes four short double-helical elements and three loops (D, anti-codon, and T loops).
Source: RNAcentral
CCCCUCGUAGUUCAAUGGAUCAGAACUGCGGACUUCUAAGCCGUCGAUGUUGGUUCGAUUCCAACCGAGGGGA